AACACUGGCGGCGUGCUUAUACAUGCAGUCGAACGAAGAGUCUACAAUAGUCUCUGAGUGGGAACGGGUGAGUAACGCGUGGGUGACCUGCCCCACAGCGGGGGAUACCAGCUCGAAAGGGCUGCUAAUACCCCAUGCGGUCCGGGGAGUUAGAGACCCCGGUCCAAAGGCGUAAGCCGCUGUGGGAGGGACCUGCGUCCCAUCAGCUGGUUGGUAGGGUAACGGCCUACCAAGGCUCAGACGGGUAGGGGGCCUGAGAGGGUGACCCCCCACACUGGCACUGAAACACGGGCCAGACACCUACGGGUGGCAGCAGUAGGGAAUAUUGCACAAUGGGCGCAAGCCUGAUGCAGCAACGCCGCGUGCGCGAUGAAGGCCUUCGGGUCGUAAAGCGCUUUUCUGGAGGACGAGCAAGGACGGUACUCCAGGAAGAAGGCUCGGCUAACUACGUGCCAGCAGCCGCGGUAAAACGUAGGAGCCAAGCGUUAUCCGAAUUCACUGGGCGUAAAGCGCGUGCAGGCGGCUAGGUAAG
This 532-nucleotide ribosomal RNA is filed under the name uncultured Chloroflexota bacterium. Its description in RNAcentral is "bacterial SSU rRNA". It matches the Rfam family "Bacterial small subunit ribosomal RNA", at positions 32 to 587 of the family's 1533-position model. Lineage: Bacteria; Bacillati; Chloroflexota. The record is from RNAcentral.